This 65-nucleotide transfer RNA is filed under the name Pachyrhinus yasumatsui. Its description in RNAcentral is "tRNA-Ile". The record is from RNAcentral. Lineage: Eukaryota; Metazoa; Arthropoda; Insecta; Coleoptera; Curculionidae.
AAUAGAAUGCCUGAUAAAAGGGUUAUCUUGAUAGGAUAAAUUAUAUGGAUAAGCCAUUUCUAUUG